Non-coding RNA from Oryctolagus cuniculus (rabbit), 45 nucleotides. The record is from Rfam. Lineage: Eukaryota; Metazoa; Chordata; Mammalia; Lagomorpha; Leporidae.
AAAAUGGCUUUAUUUAAAGCCCUCAAGACACCAUUAAGAGCAAUU